UGGUAUGAAUAGUGGCAGUAUCGUAGGCAAUGAGGUUUAUCCGAGGCACGACUAUUGCUAAUUGAAUAAUAUAUACAAUCACUGCUGUGCCAGAAUGUAGAAUGUAGCACAGAACUGACUGCAGAGCUUCUCCUAGAGC
This 139-nucleotide small nuclear RNA is filed under the name Mustela putorius furo (domestic ferret). Its description in RNAcentral is "U4 spliceosomal RNA". It matches the Rfam family "U4 spliceosomal RNA". Rfam says of the family: U4 small nuclear RNA (U4 snRNA) is a component of the major U2-dependent spliceosome. The record is from Rfam by way of RNAcentral. Lineage: Eukaryota; Metazoa; Chordata; Mammalia; Carnivora; Mustelidae.